RNAcentral lists this ribosomal RNA (346 nucleotides) under uncultured bacterium. Its description in RNAcentral is "partial 16S ribosomal RNA". It matches the Rfam family "Bacterial small subunit ribosomal RNA", at positions 338 to 681 of the family's 1533-position model. The record is from RNAcentral.
CCUACGGGAGACAGCAGUGAGGAAUAGUGGUCAAUGGACGAGAGUCUGAACCAGCCAAGUAGCGUGAAGGAUGACUGCCCUAUGGGUUGUAAACUUCUUGUAUAAAGGAAUAAAACGAGGCACGUGGGCCUUUUUGCAUGUACGUUAUGAAUAAGGAUCGGCUAACGCCGUGCCAGCAGCCGCGGUAAUACGGAGGAUCCGAGCGUUAUCCGGAUUUAUUGGGUUUAAAGGGAGCGUAGAGGGGUUGUUAAGUCAGUUGUGAAAGUUUGCGGCUCAACCGUAAAAUUGCAAUUGAUACUGGCAGUCUUUCUUACAGUUGCGGUUAGCUGACUUCGUGGUGUCGCUG